RNAcentral lists this ribosomal RNA (550 nucleotides) under Polyorchis haplus. RNAcentral's name for it is "partial 16S ribosomal RNA". It matches the Rfam family "Bacterial large subunit ribosomal RNA", at positions 1809 to 2541 of the family's 2925-position model. Lineage: Eukaryota; Metazoa; Cnidaria; Hydrozoa; Anthoathecata; Polyorchidae. The record is from RNAcentral.
AAAAACAUAGCCCCUAAAAUAAUUAGAGGUGUGACCUGCCCAAUGAUUACUAAGUUAAACAUGUUAAAAUCAUUUUAAUGUAAUUUAAAGGACGCGGUAUCUUGACCGUGAUAAUGUAGCAUAAUCACUCGCCACUUAAUUAGUGGAUUGUAUGAAUGGUUGAACGAAUAUAACACUGUCUCAAGUAAAGAAUUUAUUAAAUUGGAGUAAUAGUAAAGAUACUAUUAGAAAUUAUAAGACGAAAAGACCCUAUAGAGCUUAACUAUAAUUUCUUUGAUAUAUAAUAAAUUAAUUUAUUUCAAUAAAGAAAUUGGUAGUUUAGUUGGGGCGACUAUCUUCUAAAGAUAACGAAGAUAAACAAAAUUAAUUAGAAUAAUUUAUUGUAUAAUUAAUAUAUUUAACAAUUAUGAAUGUAGGUAAUGAUGACCCGUUUUACUUAAAGAAGAAAAUAAAACGAUUAAUAAAUAAAAGCUACCUUAGGGAUAACAGGAUAAUUUUAUUUUAGAGAUCUUAUCGAAAAUAAAGUUUGUCACCUCGAUGUUGAAUUUAU